UCAGUGGGUGGGGUGAUCGCUGGUGCUCGGGUUGGUCGGCUCCAUUGGUGCCGGUCGAUCUCGAACACUGGAGGAAAGUCCGGGCUCCACAGGGCAGGAUGGUCGAUAACGUCGACCGGCCGUGAGGUUAGGGAAAGUGCAGCAGAGAACAGACCGCCGAACGGUGGGUUCGCAAGGAUCCAUGCGUGGUAAGGGUGAAACGGUGCGGUAAGAGCGCACCAGCGGACGGGGUGACUCGUUCGGCUUGGUAAACCCCAUCCGGAGCUAGACCAAACAGGGUGGAUUGUCGAAGCGGCCCGCUUCGCCCGACAUCCGGGUAGGUCGCAAUUGAGGCGGCGAGCAAUCGUCGUGCACAGAUAAAUGGUCACCGGCGGAGGUUGUCGGUUCGCUCUCGGAGCGGGCGGAUGACCGAAGUUACAAAACCCGGCUUACAAACCCACUGAUUCG
RNAcentral lists this RNase P RNA (447 nucleotides) under Neorhodopirellula pilleata. RNAcentral's name for it is "Bacterial RNase P class A". It matches the Rfam family "Bacterial RNase P class A". Rfam says of the family: Ribonuclease P (RNase P) is a ubiquitous endoribonuclease, found in archaea, bacteria and eukarya as well as chloroplasts and mitochondria. Its best characterised activity is the generation of mature 5'-ends of tRNAs by cleaving the 5'-leader elements of precursor-tRNAs. Cellular RNase Ps are ribonucleoproteins. Lineage: Bacteria; Pseudomonadati; Planctomycetota; Planctomycetia; Pirellulales; Pirellulaceae. The record is from Rfam by way of RNAcentral.